UGCGCAGGCGGCUCCUUAAGUCAGAUGUGAAAGCCCCGGGCUUAACCUGGGAACUGCGUUUGAAACUGGGGAGCUGGAGUGUAGAAGAGGGGGGUGGAAUUCCAGGUGUAGCAGUGAAAUGCGUAGAGAUCUGGAGGAACACCGAUGGCGAAGGCAGCCCCCUGGGCUAACACUGACGCUCAUGCACGAAAGCGUGGGAGCAAACA
This 206-nucleotide ribosomal RNA is filed under the name uncultured bacterium. RNAcentral describes it as "partial 16S ribosomal RNA". It matches the Rfam family "Bacterial small subunit ribosomal RNA", at positions 568 to 774 of the family's 1533-position model. The record is from RNAcentral.